CCUACGGGCGGCAGCAGUGGGGAAUAUUGGACAAUGGGCGAAAGCCUGAUCCAGCCAUGCCGCGUGUGUGAAGAAGGCCUUCGGGUUGUAAAGCACUUUCAGCGGGGAAGAAACCCUUGGGGCUAAUACCCUCGAGGAAGGACAUCACCCACAGAAGAAGCACCGGCUAACUCCGUGCCAGCAGCCGCGGUAAUACGGAGGGUGCGAGCGUUAAUCGGAAUUACUGGGCGUAAAGCGCGCGUAGGCGGUCUGAUAAGCCGGUUGUGAAAGCCCCGGGCUCAACCUGGGAACGGCAUCCGGAACUGUCAGGCUAGAGUGCAGGAGAGGAAGGUAGAAUUCCCGGUGUAGCGGUGAAAUGCGUAGAGAUCGGGAGGAAUACCAGUGGCGAAGGCGGCCUUCUGGACCGACACUGACGCUGAGGUGCGAAAGCGUGGGGAGCAAACAGGAUUAGAUACCCGUGUAGUC
Molecule: ribosomal RNA, 465 nt
Filed under: Vreelandella stevensii
Lineage: Bacteria; Pseudomonadati; Pseudomonadota; Gammaproteobacteria; Oceanospirillales; Halomonadaceae
Description: partial 16S ribosomal RNA
Rfam family: Bacterial small subunit ribosomal RNA
Source: RNAcentral